This 492-nucleotide ribosomal RNA is filed under the name uncultured bacterium. RNAcentral describes it as "partial 16S ribosomal RNA". It matches the Rfam family "Bacterial small subunit ribosomal RNA", at positions 29 to 507 of the family's 1533-position model. The record is from RNAcentral.
AGUGAACGCUGGCGGUAGGCCUAACACAUGCAAGUCGAACGGCAGCACAGUAAGAGCUUGCUCUUACGGGUGGCGAGUGGCGGACGGGUGCGGAAUACAUCGGAAUCUACUUUUUCGUGGGGGAUAACGUCGGGAAACUUACGCUAAUACCGGAUACGACCUACGGGUGAAAGCAGGCGUACUUCGGACCUGUCGCGGAUGAAUGAGCCGAUGUCGGAUUAGCUAGUUGGCGGGGUAAAGGCCCACCACGGCGACGAUCCGUAGCUGGUCUGAGAGGAUGAUCAGCUACAUGGGAACUGAGACACGGCCGAGACUCCUACGGGAGGCAGCAGUGGGGAAUAUUGGACGAUGGGGGAAAGGCUGAUCCAGCCAUACCGCGUGGGUGAAGAAGGCGUUAGGGUGGUAAAGCCCUUUUGUUGGGAAAGAAAAGCAGCAGGUUAAUACGCCGCUGUUCUGACGGUACCCAAAGAAUAAGCACCGGCUAACUUCGUG